Molecule: ribosomal RNA, 497 nt
Filed under: uncultured bacterium
Lineage: Bacteria
Description: partial 16S ribosomal RNA
Rfam family: Bacterial small subunit ribosomal RNA
Source: RNAcentral
GAUGAACGCUGGCGGCGUGCCUAAUACAUGCAAGUCGAGCGAACGGACGAGAAGCUUGCUUCUCUGAUGUUAGCGGCGGACGGGUGAGUAACACGUGGAUAACCUACCUAUAAGACUGGGAUAACUUCGGGAAACCGGAGCUAAUACCGGAUGAUAUUUUGAACCGCAUGGUUCAAAAGUGAAAGACGGUCUUGCUGUCACUUAUAGAUGGAUCCGCGCUGCAUUAGCUAGUUGGUAAGGUAACGGCUUACCAAGGCAACGAUGCAUAGCCGACCUGAGAGGGUGAUCGGCCACACUGGAACUGAGACACGGUCCAGACUCCUACGGGAGGCAGCAGUAGGGAAUCUUCCGCAAUGGGCGCAAGCCUGACGCAGCAACGCCGCGUGAGUGAUGAAGGUCUUCGGAUCGUAAAACUCUGUUAUUAGGGAAGAACAUAUGUGUAAGUAACUGUGCACAUCUUGACGGUACCUAAUCAGAAAGCCACGGCUAACUACGUG